RNAcentral lists this ribosomal RNA (494 nucleotides) under Alternaria sp. RNAcentral's name for it is "eukaryotic LSU rRNA". The stretch from base 129 to 282 matches the Rfam family "5.8S ribosomal RNA". Lineage: Eukaryota; Fungi; Ascomycota; Dothideomycetes; Pleosporales; Pleosporaceae. The record is from RNAcentral.
CAGCCUUGCUGAAUUAUUCACCCUUGUCUUUUGCGUACUUCUUGUUUCCUUGGUGGGUUCGCCCACCACUAGGACAAACAUAAACCUUUUGUAAUUGCAAUCAGCGUCAGUAACAAAUUAAUAAUUACAACUUUCAACAACGGAUCUCUUGGUUCUGGCAUCGAUGAAGAACGCAGCGAAAUGCGAUAAGUAGUGUGAAUUGCAGAAUUCAGUGAAUCAUCGAAUCUUUGAACGCACAUUGCGCCCUUUGGUAUUCCAAAGGGCAUGCCUGUUCGAGCGUCAUUUGUACCCUCAAGCUUUGCUUGGUGUUGGGCGUCUUGUCUCUAGCUUUGCUGGAGACUCGCCUUAAAGUAAUUGGCAGCCGGCCUACUGGUUUCGGAGCGCAGCACAAGUCGCACUCUCUAUCAGCAAAGGUCUAGCAUCCAUUAAGCCUUUUUUUCAACUUUUGACCUCGGAUCAGGUAGGGAUACCCGCUGAACUUAAGCAUAUCAAUA